UGUGGCAACAGAUAAACUCGUAUUUGGGACUGGGAUCGCUUUUUCAGUUGAGCCAAGUAAUCAAGAAGAAUCUGCCCCAGAAAUCAUUGUGCUUAAAUCAAAGAUACCCAAACAAUGUGGCAACAAAGUGAACAUGGCUUGUUUGGCAAGGACUUUCUACCCUAAGAACAUCAGCCUUGAUGUGGCCAAGGGUGACAUUGUAUACAAUCUGAAGGCACCUCUUGUAACAUCUGAGGGGGUGUAUAGUACCAUGAAGGUAGUUGAACUGGAACCAGAUGCAGAGGAUACCUGCAAGGACAUGCACAAGAGGAACAAGACCAAAGCCAGCAGAAUUCUGCCAGAAGAGAAAAAUGAAGAACUGGAAACAGUUAAUGCUUGCAACCUUACAGAUGCCCCUACAAAAGAUGCCAAGGAGAAAGUGAAUAUGCUGUUCAUGGCUGUUUUGGGUUUGAGAGUCCUGCUGGCAAAAAGCAUCGCCUUCAACACAAUCAUGAGUAUCAAGCUGUUUCUGUUCUGAGGUAGGAAACACCAUCUCAGGUUCCAUCAGAAAUCUACUGGUUGUUUCAAGUAGCAGAGCACAACAUCUGGAUAAAAGUCCAGAUCAGCAAGAACUAUAAAGGGACAAUCUCAAAAGCCAAUAAAUGUGAAAAAGGGAAUGCAAAAAGGAGGCGGAAGAAUUCUGAAGAUGAGGUAG
Molecule: non-coding RNA, 694 nt
Organism: Antrostomus carolinensis (chuck-will's-widow)
Lineage: Eukaryota; Metazoa; Chordata; Aves; Caprimulgiformes; Caprimulgidae
Source: the annotation of a RefSeq genome assembly